RNAcentral lists this ribosomal RNA (2908 nucleotides) under Serratia marcescens. RNAcentral's name for it is "23S ribosomal RNA". It matches the Rfam family "Bacterial large subunit ribosomal RNA". Lineage: Bacteria; Pseudomonadati; Pseudomonadota; Gammaproteobacteria; Enterobacterales; Yersiniaceae. The record is from RNAcentral.
GGUUAAGUGACUAAGCGUACACGGUGGAUGCCUAGGCAGUCAGAGGCGAUGAAGGGCGUGCUAAUCUGCGAAAAGCGUCGGUAAGGUGAUAUGAACCGUUACAACCGGCGAUACCCGAAUGGGGAAACCCAGUGUGUUUCGACACACUAUCAUGUCAUGAAUACAUAGUGGCAUGAGGCGAACCGGGGGAACUGAAACAUCUAAGUACCCCGAGGAAAAGAAAUCAACCGAGAUUCCCCCAGUAGCGGCGAGCGAACGGGGAGGAGCCCAGAACCUGAAUCGGCUUGUGUGUUAGUGGAAGCGUCUGGAAAGUCGCGCAGCAAAGGGUGAUAGCCCCGUACACUAAAAUGCACAGGUCGUGAGUUCGAUGAGUAGGGCGGGACACGUGACAUCCUGUCUGAAUAUGGGGGGACCAUCCUCCAAGGCUAAAUACUCCUGACUGACCGAUAGUGAACCAGUACCGUGAGGGAAAGGCGAAAAGAACCCCGGCGAGGGGAGUGAAAUAGAACCUGAAACCGUGUACGUACAAGCAGUGGGAGCACCUUCGUGGUGUGACUGCGUACCUUUUGUAUAAUGGGUCAGCGACUUAUAUUUUGUAGCAAGGUUAACCGUAUAGGGGAGCCGUAGGGAAACCGAGUCUUAACUGGGCGAAUAGUUGCAAGGUAUAGACCCGAAACCCGGUGAUCUAGCCAUGGGCAGGUUGAAGGUUGGGUAACACUAACUGGAGGACCGAACCGACUAAUGUUGAAAAAUUAGCGGAUGACUUGUGGCUGGGGGUGAAAGGCCAAUCAAACCGGGAGAUAGCUGGUUCUCCCCGAAAGCUAUUUAGGUAGCGCCUCGUGAACUCAUCUUCGGGGGUAGAGCACUGUUUCGGCUAGGGGGCCAUCCCGGCUUACCAAACCGAUGCAAACUCCGAAUACCGAAGAAUGUUAUCACGGGAGACACACGGCGGGUGCUAACGUCCGUCGUGAAGAGGGAAACAACCCAGACCGCCAGCUAAGGUCCCAAAGUCAUGGUUAAGUGGGAAACGAUGUGGGAAGGCACAGACAGCCAGGAUGUUGGCUUAGAAGCAGCCAUCAUUUAAAGAAAGCGUAAUAGCUCACUGGUCGAGUCGGCCUGCGCGGAAGAUGUAACGGGGCUAAACCAUGCACCGAAGCUGCGGCAGCGACGCUUAGGCGUUGUUGGGUAGGGGAGCGUUCUGUAAGCCGUUGAAGGUGGCCUGUGAGGGUUGCUGGAGGUAUCAGAAGUGCGAAUGCUGACAUAAGUAACGAUAAAGCGGGUGAAAAGCCCGCUCGCCGGAAGACCAAGGGUUCCUGUCCAACGUUAAUCGGGGCAGGGUGAGUCGACCCCUAAGGCGAGGCUGAAAAGCGUAGUCGAUGGGAAACAGGUUAAUAUUCCUGUACUUGGUGUUACUGCGAAGGGGGGACGGAGAAGGCUAGGCUGGCCGGGCGACGGUUGUCCCGGUUUAAGCGUGUAGGGGGUGUGACCUGGUAAAUCCGGUUGCAUAUCAACCCUGAGGCGUGAUGACGAUGCACUACGGUGCAGAAGUAGUUGAUGCCCUGCUUCCAGGAAAAUCCUCUAAGCUCCAGGUAACAUUGAAUCGUACCCCAAACCGACACAGGUGGUCAGGUAGAGAAUACCAAGGCGCUUGAGAGAACUCGGGUGAAGGAACUAGGCAAAAUGGUGCCGUAACUUCGGGAGAAGGCACGCUGGCAUGUAGGUGAAGUCCCUUGCGGAUGGAGCUGAAGCCAGUCGAAGAUACCAGCUGGCUGCAACUGUUUAAUAAAAACACAGCACUGUGCAAACACGAAAGUGGACGUAUACGGUGUGACGCCUGCCCGGUGCUGGAAGGUUAAUUGAUGGGGUCAGCCGCAAGGCGAAGCUCUUGAUCGAAGCCCCAGUAAACGGCGGCCGUAACUAUAACGGUCCUAAGGUAGCGAAAUUCCUUGUCGGGUAAGUUCCGACCUGCACGAAUGGCGUAAUGAUGGCCAGGCUGUCUCCACCCGAGACUCAGUGAAAUUGAACUCGCUGUGAAGAUGCAGUGUACCCGCGGCAAGACGGAAAGACCCCGUGAACCUUUACUAUAGCUUGACACUGAACAUUGAGCCUUGAUGUGUAGGAUAGGUGGGAGGCUUUGAAGCGUGGACGCCAGUCUGCGUGGAGCCAUCCUUGAAAUACCACCCUUUAAUGUUUGAUGUUCUAACUCGGCCCCGUGAUCCGGGGUGAGGACAGUGUCUGGUGGGUAGUUUGACUGGGGCGGUCUCCUCCCAAAGAGUAACGGAGGAGCACGAAGGUUAGCUAAUCACGGUCGGACAUCGUGAGGUUAGUGCAAAGGCAUAAGCUAGCUUGACUGCGAGAGUGACGGCUCGAGCAGGUACGAAAGUAGGUCUUAGUGAUCCGGUGGUUCUGAAUGGAAGGGCCAUCGCUCAACGGAUAAAAGGUACUCCGGGGAUAACAGGCUGAUACCGCCCAAGAGUUCAUAUCGACGGCGGUGUUUGGCACCUCGAUGUCGGCUCAUCACAUCCUGGGGCUGAAGUAGGUCCCAAGGGUAUGGCUGUUCGCCAUUUAAAGUGGUACGCGAGCUGGGUUUAGAACGUCGUGAGACAGUUCGGUCCCUAUCUGCCGUGGGCGUUGGAAGAUUGAGAGGGGUUGCUCCUAGUACGAGAGGACCGGAGUGAACGCACCACUGGUGUUCGGGUUGUCAUGCCAAUGGCAUUGCCCGGUAGCUAAGUGCGGAAAAGAUAAGCGCUGAAAGCAUCUAAGCGCGAAACUUGCCUCAAGAUGAGUCUUCCCUGGGCCUUUAAGGCCCCUGAAGGAACGUUUAAGACUAAGACGUUGAUAGGCUGGGUGUGUAAGUGCAGCGAUGCAUUGAGCUAACCAGUACUAAUGAUCCGUGAGGCUUAACCUU